Molecule: ribosomal RNA, 497 nt
Filed under: uncultured bacterium
Lineage: Bacteria
Description: partial 16S ribosomal RNA
Rfam family: Bacterial small subunit ribosomal RNA
Source: RNAcentral
GAUGAACGCUGGCGGCGUGCCUAAUACAUGCCAGUCGAGCGAACGGACGAGAGGCUUGCUUCUCUGAUGUUAGCGGCGGACGGGUGAGUAACACGUGGAUAACCUACCUAUAAGACUGGGAUAACUUCGGGAAACCGGAGCUAAUACCGGAUAAUAUUUUGAACCGCAUGGUUCAAAAGUGAAAGACGGUCUUGCUGUCACUUAUAGAUGGAUCCGCGCUGCAUUAGCUAGUUGGUAAGGUAACGGCUUACCAAGGCAACGAUGCAUAGCCGACCUGAGAGGGUGAUCGGCCACACUGGAACUGAGACACGGUCCAGACUCCUACGGGAGGCAGCAGUAGGGAAUCUUCCGCAAUGGGCGAAAGCCUGACGGAGCAACGCCGCGUGAGUGAUGAAGGUCUUCGGAUCGUAAAACUCUGUUAUUAGGGAAGAACAUAUGUGUAAGUAACUGUGCACAUCCUGACGGUACCUAAUCAGAAAGCCACGGCUAACUACGUG